GACGAACGCUGGCGGCGUGCCUAACACAUGCAAGUCGAGCGAAUGAAGUUCCUUCGGGAAUGGAUUUAGCGGCGGACGGGUGAGUAACACGUGGGCAACCUGCCUCAUAGAGGGGAAUAGCCUUCCGAAAGGGAGAUUAAUACCGCAUAAGAUUGUAGUACCGCAUGGUGUAGCAAUUAAAGGAGCAAUCCGCUAUGAGAUGGGCCCGCGGCGCAUUAGCUAGUUGGUGAGGUAACGGCUCACCAAGGCGACGAUGCGUAGCCGACCUGAGAGGGUGAUCGGCCACAUUGGAACUGAGACACGGUCCAAACUCCUACGGGAGGCAGCAGGGGGGAAUAUUGCACAAUGGGGGAAACCCUGAUGCAGCAACGCCGCGUGAAGGAUGAAGGCCUUUGGGUCGUAAACUUCUGUUCUAAGGGAAGAUAGUGACGGUACCUUAGGAGCAAGUCCCGGCUAACUACGUGCCAGCAGCCGCCGUAA
This 480-nucleotide ribosomal RNA is filed under the name uncultured bacterium. RNAcentral describes it as "partial 16S ribosomal RNA". It matches the Rfam family "Bacterial small subunit ribosomal RNA", at positions 28 to 523 of the family's 1533-position model. The record is from RNAcentral.